This 85-nucleotide transfer RNA is filed under the name Felis catus (domestic cat). It matches the Rfam family "tRNA". Rfam says of the family: Transfer RNA (tRNA) molecules are approximately 80 nucleotides in length. Their secondary structure includes four short double-helical elements and three loops (D, anti-codon, and T loops). Further hydrogen bonds mediate the characteristic L-shaped molecular structure. tRNAs have two regions of fundamental functional importance: the anti-codon, which is responsible for specific mRNA codon recognition, and the 3' end, to which the tRNAs corresponding amino acid is attached (by aminoacyl-tRNA synthetases). tRNAs cope with the degeneracy of the genetic code in two manners: having more than one tRNA (with a specific anti-codon) for a particular amino acid; and 'wobble' base-pairing, i.e. permitting non-standard base-pairing at the 3rd anti-codon position. The record is from Rfam by way of RNAcentral. Lineage: Eukaryota; Metazoa; Chordata; Mammalia; Carnivora; Felidae.
GCCUGAGUGGCACAGUCGGUUAAGCGUCUGACUUUGACUCAGGUCGUGAUCUCACAGCUCGUGGGUUCGAGCCCCGCAUCGGGCU